RNAcentral lists this ribosomal RNA (539 nucleotides) under Penicillium sp. TXP58. RNAcentral's name for it is "eukaryotic LSU rRNA". The stretch from base 160 to 312 matches the Rfam family "5.8S ribosomal RNA". Lineage: Eukaryota; Fungi; Ascomycota; Eurotiomycetes; Eurotiales; Aspergillaceae. The record is from RNAcentral.
UGGUCCAACCUCCCACCCGUGUUUAUUUUACCUUGUUGCUUCGGCGGGCCCGCCUUAACUGGCCGCCGGGGGGCUUACGCCCCCGGGCCCGCGCCCGCCGAAGACACCCUCGAACUCUGUCUGAAGAUUGUAGUCUGAGUGAAAAUAUAAAUUAUUUAAAACUUUCAACAACGGAUCUCUUGGUUCCGGCAUCGAUGAAGAACGCAGCGAAAUGCGAUACGUAAUGUGAAUUGCAAAUUCAGUGAAUCAUCGAGUCUUUGAACGCACAUUGCGCCCCCUGGUAUUCCGGGGGGCAUGCCUGUCCGAGCGUCAUUGCUGCCCUCAAGCACGGCUUGUGUGUUGGGCCCCGUCCUCCGAUCCCGGGGGACGGGCCCGAAAGGCAGCGGCGGCACCGCGUCCGGUCCUCGAGCGUAUGGGGCUUUGUCACCCGCUCUGUAGGCCCGGCCGGCGCUUGCCGAUCAACCCAAAUUUUUAUCCAGGUUGACCUCGGAUCAGGUAGGGAUACCCGCUGAACUUAAGCAUAUCAAUAAGCGGAGGAA